RNAcentral lists this ribosomal RNA (596 nucleotides) under uncultured bacterium. RNAcentral's name for it is "partial 16S ribosomal RNA". The record is from RNAcentral.
UCUGCCGCACUCGAGUCUUGCAGUCACAAACGCAGUUCCCAGGUUAAGCCCGGGGAUUUCACAUCUGUCUUACGAAACCGCCUGCGCACGCUUUACGCCCAGUAAUUCCGAUUAACGCUCGCACCCUACGUAUUACCGCGGCUGCUGGCACGUAGUUAGCCGGUGCUUCUUCUUCAGGUACCGUCAUUAGCAGGCUAUGUUAGAGCCCGCCGUUUCGUUCCUGCCGAAAGAGCUUUACAACCCGAAGGCCUUCUUCACUCACGCGGAAUGGCUGGAUCAGGCUUGCGCCCAUUGUCCAAAAUUCCCCACUGCUGCCUCCCGUAGGAGUCUGGACCGUGUCUCAGUUCCAGUGUGGCUGGUCGUCCUCUCAGACCAGCUACGGAUCGUCGCCUUGGUGAGCCUUUACCUCACCAACUAGCUAAUCCGCCAUCGGCCGCUCCAAUCGCGCGAGGUCUUGCGAUCCCCCGCUUUCACCCUCAGGUCGUAUGCGGUAUUAAUCCGGCUUUCGCCGAGCUAUCCCCCACGAUAGGGUACGUUCCGAUGUGUUACUCACCCGUUCGCCGCUCGCGGACAGGGUUGCCCCCGCGCUGCCGCUC